Non-coding RNA from Peromyscus maniculatus bairdii (prairie deer mouse), 211 nucleotides. The record is from RefSeq and is a predicted model, not a curated record. NCBI's taxonomy places the organism in Eukaryota, Metazoa, Chordata, Mammalia, Rodentia, Cricetidae.
UGAGCUCUUCCGAUCUGUUGGACUUGAGAGUUCCCACAAUGGCCAGGACUGUGACAAUCUCUGGGGAUGUGACAAAGGCAUGGGUCUCGGAAUUCACAUCAUUGCAGCCUGUGAAGUUCCUAUGGUAUGAGGUGAUGAUUGCAUUCUUCUCCCCCUUAUUAAUGUCUUUUUUUGUCCCACUGGCAGAUGUAAGGGCCACAGGCCUUGGCCA